CAUCCCUCUCUUCCUCUUCCAGUCUUUCCUCUUUCACUUUCUCUUUUCCCCUUUUUGCAGCUAACAGAAUCCUCCUUACAAGAAGCACGUCUCUAUUCAGAAAAAAUUCAUAGCGGACUCCGAGCUGCCUUCUGUUGUCUUUCUCGCAAUUGCCGAACGCGGAUUGACCAACUUCGUGCUUUCACACUCUUUUCGGGGCGUUCGUGUUCUUUCUUCGUUCACUCUUUUCGUGCCUAGUUUCAGGCCACCGAACUCAUUUCCACCAUCUGCUAUCUUUUUCGCAGUUUCGAUUGGUUUUUAAUUUUGGCAAAAACUGGAUUUAGGGUUUUGGUGCAUAAGGAGAGAGAGACUGAUCAGGAUUCAGGAAAAGGGGAGAAGGCGGGAAAAAAGAUUUAUCUUCUUUAACGGCGUGGAUUUUGGACGUUUGAUUCAGGGGCAAAUUUGUAUUUUCGUAUUUUAUUUUCCUAUCGAAAUAUAUUAGUGUUAUUUAGCUGUUUUUGUCCAAACCCUAAUUCCUCAUAACUCCUUUCAUUUCUUUCUCUCCCUCUGGAAUCCUCUAUCGGAUUCAGGCGUUCUGGUGCUGACAUCGAAUCUUGCGAGGUUUAUAGGAAGCUACUCGUAGGAAGAAAGAUCCGCGGCUGUCCUGGAGUUUACUGUCAGGUUAAACUUGAAUUUUAGGAUAAUACAACGUUUCUAUUGUACCAAAAGACCAGAAAUAAAUGGAGGACUGGGAGGAUGAUCAAAUACCACCCCUCCUUUUGAAGGAGC
This is a non-coding RNA of Carica papaya (papaya), 768 nucleotides long. Lineage: Eukaryota; Viridiplantae; Streptophyta; Magnoliopsida; Brassicales; Caricaceae. The record is from RefSeq and is a predicted model, not a curated record.